UAGGGAAUCUUCCGCAAUGGGCGAAAGCCUGACGGAGCAACGCCGCGUGAGUGAUGAAGGUCUUCGGAUCGUAAAACUCUGUUAUUAGGGAAGAACAAAUGUGUAAGUAACUAUGCACGUCUUGACGGUACCUAAUCAGAAAGCCACGGCUAACUACGUGCCAGCAGCCGCGGUAAUACGUAGGUGGCAAGCGUUAUCCGGAAUUAUUGGGCGUAAAGCGCGCGUAGGCGGUUUUUUAAGUCUGAUGUGAAAGCCCACGGCUCAACCGUGGAGAGUCAUUGGAAACUGGAAAACUUGAGUGCAGAAGAGGAAAGUGGAAUUCCAUGUGUAGCGGUGAAAUGCGCAGGGAUAUGGAGGAACACCAGUGGCGAAGGCGACUUUCUGGUCUGUAACUGACGCUGAUGUGCGAAAGCGUGGGGAUCAAACAGG
RNAcentral lists this ribosomal RNA (429 nucleotides) under Actinomycetes bacterium. RNAcentral describes it as "Actinobacteria bacterium partial 16S ribosomal RNA". It matches the Rfam family "Bacterial small subunit ribosomal RNA", at positions 355 to 776 of the family's 1533-position model. The record is from RNAcentral. Lineage: Bacteria; Bacillati; Actinomycetota; Actinomycetes.